RNAcentral lists this ribosomal RNA (449 nucleotides) under uncultured bacterium. Its description in RNAcentral is "partial 16S ribosomal RNA". It matches the Rfam family "Bacterial small subunit ribosomal RNA", at positions 29 to 523 of the family's 1533-position model. The record is from RNAcentral.
AACGAACGCUGGCGGCAGGCCUAAUACAUGCAAGUCGAGCGCCCUAGCAAUAGGGAGCGGCGCACGGGUGAGUAACACGUGGGAAUCUACCCUUGACUACGGGACAACGUCGGGAAGCUGACGCUAAUACGGUAUAAUGACUCCGGUCCAAAGAUUUAUCGGUCAGGGAUGAGCCCGCGUUAGAUUAGUUGGUUGGUGAGGUAAUGGCUCACCAAGCCUACGAACUAUAGCUGUUCCGAGAGGACGGUCAGCCACGCUGGAACUGAGACACGGUCCAGAAUCUUACGGGAGGCAGCAGAAAGGAAUAUUGGACAGUGGGGGCAACCCUGAUCCAGCCAUGCCGCGUAAGUGACGAAGGCCUUCGGGUUGUAAAGCUCUUUCGGAUGUGAAGAUAAUGACAGUAGCAUAAGAAGAAGCUCCGGCUAAACUCGUGCCAGCCGCCGCGGUAA